AAAUUGAAGAGUUUGAUCAUGGCUCAGAUUGAACGCUGGCGGCAGGCCUAACACAUGCAAGUCGAACGGUAACAGGAAGCAGCUUGCUGCUUUGCUGACGAGUGGCGGACGGGUGAGUAAUGUCUGGGAAACUGCCUGAUGGAGGGGGAUAACUACUGGAAACGGUGGCUAAUACCGCAUAACGUCGCAAGACCAAAGAGGGGGACCUUCGGGCCUCUUGCCAUCAGAUGUGCCCAGAUGGGAUUAGCUAGU
RNAcentral lists this ribosomal RNA (252 nucleotides) under Salmonella enterica. RNAcentral's name for it is "partial 16S ribosomal RNA". It matches the Rfam family "Bacterial small subunit ribosomal RNA", at positions 1 to 249 of the family's 1533-position model. Lineage: Bacteria; Pseudomonadati; Pseudomonadota; Gammaproteobacteria; Enterobacterales; Enterobacteriaceae. The record is from RNAcentral. RNAcentral also lists the same sequence under 1 other name.